This 252-nucleotide ribosomal RNA is filed under the name uncultured bacterium. RNAcentral describes it as "partial 16S ribosomal RNA". It matches the Rfam family "Bacterial small subunit ribosomal RNA", at positions 524 to 776 of the family's 1533-position model. The record is from RNAcentral.
UACGUAGGCAGCGAGCGUUGUUCGGAAUUACUGGGCGUAAAGAGUGUGUAGGCGGUGCUCUAAGUUCGGUGUGAAAUCUCCUGGCUCAACUGGGAGGGUGCGCCGGAAACUGGAGUGCUUGAGCGUGGGAGAGGAAGCGGAAUUCCUGGUGUAGCGGUGAAAUGCGUAGAUAUCAGGAGGAACACCUGUGGUGUAGACGGCUUUCUGGACCAUAGCUGACGCUGAGACACGAAAGCGUGGGUAGCAAACAGG